Molecule: long non-coding RNA, 1301 nt
Organism: Perognathus longimembris pacificus (Pacific pocket mouse)
Lineage: Eukaryota; Metazoa; Chordata; Mammalia; Rodentia; Heteromyidae
Exons: 2
Source: RefSeq, a predicted model, not a curated record
UUGCCACUAGGCUAUAUCCCCAGCCCCAAGUCUCUCCAUUUUUGUCUUGACCUUAACCUUUAGCAGCUACUCCAAAUGAGGAAUGCUGUAAGACUCAUCUACCAGAUUACAGCAAACUUUGAUUACCCUGUAUAUCCUGAUAUUACUGCUAGGAGAUCUUGUUUCCCUCUCAUGAGAUGGAACUUCAGAAGCAUGUUUGAACUCCAGUCUGGUGUUCUGGUGCAAAGAGCUAUUAAGCCAAACUGAAUCUAUGCAGGUAAAGGGUGCACUGUUACUUCAGCGAGAACUUUUCUAGCUGUUCUAAUACAGAGUUCCUUCUUAAGAGGGCUAUUGCUGUUGACACCAAAUGGAAUGACUUCUCAGCCUUGUGAUGUCUUAAGUGAAUGCCUAAUUUGGAAUAGAGAAAGUAUUUUAAGAAAGAAAACUAUCCUUUUUAGCAAACUCCUUCCUGGUUUUAACAAUGAACAGAGCUCCAGAUAGCACAUAGCUUGUCAGGUUGCAUCUGUGUAAUAUUUGUCUAUGUUAUUAUUAGUGGUGUUGAGUGCAUGAGAACACUCGAAAAUGAGAACCCUUGGAAAGAAAACUGCCUUAGCUGUGAUUCCAGAGAGAUACCAUUAGGUAGACCUGUUUAUCUUGAGGUGCAGUUUUCAGAUAGGAUAUAAACACAGAAGUCCAUUGGAAACAGUUUAAUUUCUUACAUAGAAGGUUUGUACAUAAUGUGCAUCAAUGAAUAUUUUCAGAAUUGUUUUCCCCAAGGCACCUUUGUUUUUCUAAAAUAGGUAUGGUGUAUAUAAGUAUGCACACACAUAUAUAUUUUUAGUGUAAUGUUAGUUAAGUUUGAUUAUAAAAGUGGUGUCAAGUCUUUUAUUUCUCUAUUUAGCAAUGAUAACUGUUUGAAUUGAUUUUUGUUUUGCAUCUUUAUGCAUUAAGAUUAGGAAAAUUAUUUGUCUCUGAGCACUCAACUUGUUUUUAUUGUUGCUGUCUCUAAUACUUCAGUCCCCAAAUCCAGAUUAUGGGGGAGGUUAGAAAUGAACUGUGAUCUUUGUGUUUUCAAUUACUGUCAGAGUUACAUGCAUAGUUAAACUUUUUUUUAAGGACAUUGUAUUGUGUUGCAAAAAUAUGAAUAUUUAUAUUUCUUGAUGUUUUUUGUUUAUAUGCUUUGCAUUUUCAUAUGUUGAACCACUGGAAAUCUGUAACAGAGUAAUUUGUGAUAGGAGUCUGAGUGUGUUGUUAACCGUCUUGUCUUCACUUUGUCCAGUGCCUAUUAUGGAAACAAUAAAAUCUAUUGUGUCAGUUGCUUU